CCAUUAGCUUGUUGGUGAGGUAACGGCUCACCAAGGCUACAAUGGGUAGCCGGCCUGAGAGGGUGUACGGCCACACUGGGACUGAGAUACGGCCCAGACUCCUACGGGAGGCAGCAGUUAGGAAUUUUGCGCAAUGGACGAAAGUCUGACGCAGCGACACCGCGUGGAGGAUGAAGACCUUAGGGUUGUAAACUCCUUUUUAGCGGCCAUGAAGGCACUAGAAUAAGUAGCUACUAACUACGUGCCAGCAGUCGCGGUAAUACGUAGGCUACGAGCGUUACCCGGAUUUAUUGGGCGUAAAGGGUCUGUAGACGGUUUUCCAAGUCUGGUUUCAAAGCCCCCGACUCAAUCGGGGAAAGGGGUCAGAUACUGGGAUACUAGAGUCAUAUCGGGGUUACUGGAAUUUUUGGUGUAGGGGUUAAAUCCGUGGAUACCAAAAAGAACACCAAGCGCGAAGGCGGUAACUAGGUAUGUACUGACGUUCAGAGACGAAAGCUAGGGUAGCAAAUCAGAUUAGAGACCUGAGUAGUCCUAGCUGUAAACAUUGUCCGUUAGUUCUUCUCAAUUUAUUGGGAGGGAUGUUAGCUAACGCGUUAAACGGAUCGCCUGGGGAGUAUAGCCGCAAGCGAAAACUUAAACGAAUUGGCGGGGAGGCGCACAACCAG
This 665-nucleotide ribosomal RNA is filed under the name uncultured Microgenomates group bacterium. RNAcentral describes it as "bacterial SSU rRNA". It matches the Rfam family "Bacterial small subunit ribosomal RNA", at positions 238 to 932 of the family's 1533-position model. The record is from RNAcentral.